GGUUCAUGAAUAUGUGAAUACUCACUUUAUACUGAAGUGGUUCCCCCCGUAGACCAUUUGCCACCAAGAAGAAUGCUCCAAUCCCGGACAAAGAUUUUUUCAUGCUGUGCAACGAAAUUACUUAUAAAGCAGCUACGCUAAAAUGUCAGCCAGAAAACAAGCCUGCCAGAGAAGUCUUGUGCUGCUCCAGAGGAUGCAGGGAGCCAGGCCUCAGUACAGCAUCAGCGGAAAGAUUAUGAAGAGACAAGUCAUGGUUGGAAGAAGACUUCAUGGCAGUCUGAGCAAGGCAGAGAAGUAAAGGAAAGAGAAUGACUCCAAGAAGAUGCCUUCUGUCAGUCAGUAGUUUUAACUGUACUGUAAUCACAAGAGAUGAGUGAACUUUUGAAAUAUUCAAUUCGGCCGAUCGCCGAAUUUUCCAAACAAAUUUGUUUCGGGUUCAAUUUAUUCACGGCGAAUCUAUAUUAAAAAUGGCUACUUCCGGCCUACAGAGAGCCUCAAUAAGGGUGUAGAAUACUUUGCUUUCUUCUAACACGCAUUUGGAGUGUGCUGGGGUAGUGAAAUAUUAUUGUUAUUCAGUAUGACAUGCAGAUUACAGGCAUCGCUAUUAGAAUCACUGCAGCAGAGUGGCACACUGACAGAGUCUGGAGGUGGCAUCAGUAUGAGGAGACCAUAUAGUGGCUGAAUGACACAGCGUGGAGGUGUUGGCAGCAUGAGGAGACCACAAAGUGGCUGAAUGAC
Long non-coding RNA from Hyla sarda, 738 nucleotides. RefSeq lists it as uncharacterized. The record is from RefSeq and is a predicted model, not a curated record. The transcript has 3 exons. Lineage: Eukaryota; Metazoa; Chordata; Amphibia; Anura; Hylidae.